CCUACGGGUGGCUGCAGUGGGGAAUUUUGGACAAUGGGCGCAAGCCUGAUCCAGCCAUGCCGCGUGGGUGAAGAAGGCCUUCGGGUUGUAAAGCCCUUUCGGCCGGGAAGAAAACGUGCGGGCGAACAGUCUGCAUGGAUGACGGUACCGGAAGAAGAAGCACCGGCUAACUACGUGCCAGCAGCCGCGGUAAUACGUAGGGUGCGAGCGUUAAUCGGAAUUAUUGCGCGUAAAGCGUGAACAGGCGGCGGAAAUCCCCGGGCUUAACCUGGGAACUGCGGUUGUGACUGUGGUGCUAGAGUACGGCAGAGGGAGGUGGAAUUCCUGGUGUAGCAGUGAAAUGCGUAGAGAUCAGGAGGAACACCGAUGGCGAAGGCAGCCUCCUGGGCUGAUACUGACGCUCAUGCACGAAAGCGUGGGGAGCAAACAGGAUUAGAUACCCCGGUAGUC
This 450-nucleotide ribosomal RNA is filed under the name uncultured bacterium. RNAcentral describes it as "partial 16S ribosomal RNA". It matches the Rfam family "Bacterial small subunit ribosomal RNA", at positions 338 to 795 of the family's 1533-position model. The record is from RNAcentral.